GACGUAGGGCGCGAGCGUUUGUCCGGAUUUAUUGGGCGUAAAGAGCUCGUAGGCGGCUUGUUGCGUCAGCUGUGAAAACCCGCAGCUCAACUGUGGGCUUGCAGCUGAUACGGGCAGGCUUGAGUUCGGUAGGGGAGACUGGAAUUCCUGGUGUAGCGGUGAAAUGCGCAGAUAUCAGGAGGAACACCGAGUGGCGAAGGCAGGUCUCUGGGCCACUACUGACGCUGAGAAGCGAAAGCAUGGGGAGCAAACAGG
Molecule: ribosomal RNA, 255 nt
Filed under: uncultured bacterium
Lineage: Bacteria
Description: partial 16S ribosomal RNA
Rfam family: Bacterial small subunit ribosomal RNA
Source: RNAcentral